ACCUUGAGGUGUCCAGUUAGGUUGAGGUUUAUGUGUUAACAUCCCACAUAGGUUAGGCAUAUAAUGAAGGUAAAAUGGUCUUUGUGAAAAGUUAGAAGAUAAAAUGAAGCAGCAGGUGCAAAUGGAUGUUACAGUUCCUUGCUCUGGUGACCUUGUGUUGAUAGGAGGUAGAUAUUAUAUGAUGGGUUGUUAAUGGUGAUGUAAUCGCAACCCGUGGAUAUGCUUUUCUUUGAUUUUUGUUACUCGUCAGAGUUUCUGGGUUCUCUUCAAGAACGGAACAACUACAGAAGUUGAAGAACACGCACAAAUACAAAUAUAAUCUCUCUUAUGCAAGGAGUGCUGUUUGGUGGUUAACCGGAUUGACUCUGGAGCCCUCCCGGUACAACAACGCAAAAGAAAACAAUAAGUGGAUAAAAUGAUUUUUAGAGAUAAAGUGAAUGAAAAGAAGAAUGAUGGAAAGGAUACAAAUCUGUUGUGGUGGGACUUGGGGUAUGAUUUUGCAUCUCGACAAGAAGUACAAUAAGUGCAUUCAAAUAUAAAAUAACUUUUGAUAUCCUCAAAGAUUGGAACGAUUUCUCCACCUCGUCGCGUGACCAUUUCUUCUGUCUCUAUAUAAAUGUUGUGUCAUUCUAUUCUCUUACCGUAAAUGCAACUCCCUUCUCUCUUUUCCACUGUCAAGAGUCACUCUCUUCUCUCACUCUUCAUUCGUUUCCAGUGUCUGGAGUCUCUCUGUUUCUUCGAUAGCACUGCCACACGCCAAUGACUCAUCUUCGGUUAGAUGUCUAGACUCUUUUUUCUCUUUUCUUCUUUUUCUGCGAUUCAGACUGUGCUUUUGAUUCCCGUGUCUGUGUUCUGGUUCUUUCUUGAACUUGCGUGUUCUUGUUUUCAAGACCGGCUGGUUCUUUCUUGAGUGCCCAUUAUUUCACUUUCAAGAGUGCUGUUUGGUGGUAAACUGGAUUUACUCUGGAACCCUCUCCAAUACAAAAAAAAAAAAAGAAGCUUAAGAAAGCAAAAAGUGGAUAAAGGGUUUUUAGAUGAUAGAUGUAUAAUUGAGGUUGAUGUUGCUCUAUGUCACAUUUCUCGAAAACAGAAACUAAUAUUGUCGGACUGAAAAGUCAAGGAAUUGUUACAUGAAUUCUCUUAUUCAGACAUUAUCACAAUCCUUAUUUUAUAAUACAACUUUUAACAAAAUUAUUAUAAAAUCAUUAUAAUAUAACUAUUGCAUUUUUUAAAUGCAUAUUGUAUAAUUAAUCUUAGCUUCUUUUUUUUUUUUCUGUUUAUAAUUGAUAUUAGGUAAACUAGAUAACACUAGGCAUAAAUGUUUUUUAUUUUUAAUUUUUAAUUUAAGGCAGAGGCGAGCUUAUUUAUAAUCUCACUCACUCCAAUCUUAUUUAUAUUUUUCGAGCUUUAUUUGUCUGCCUCAUUGAGUGUCUGUCUCCCCCUCUCACUUCUGUUCAAAUUCAUUUGUUUUCUUUUUCUUUUUCUUUUCUUUGUAAUCUGAAAUUUCUUUAUUUCUCCACACCCAAUGCCUCCUAUGUCUUUUGUGUUUCUUUUCUUUUCUUGUCUCUUCAAUUCAAGGACGAUUGUGGAAUGCUUUUGUUUCUUUGAUUUUGAAUUGAACUUGAUUCUUUUUUCAAUAUGUCUGAUUCUUAUUUUCUUCUGUUUGGAGUGCAAUGAGACUGGACUCCUUUGCUGUCCUUAUUGUUGUUUUUGAUUCCAGUGUCUGUGUCCUGCGUCUUUCUUGAACUUGCGUUUUCUUGUUUUCAAUACCGGGUGUUUUUCUUUUUUUAAUGUAAUUGAUAGGGAUAUUGAUUGCAUAUAAGAAAAAAGAUGAUGUGGUCAUAUGUGACAUAGGUUAAUAUCAACUGGAUCACUAAUGUUUUGGGUGCAUUUGUGUGUCCAUUAUUUCACUUUUAGGAGUGCUGUUUGGUGGUGAAUCGGAUUGACUCUAGAGCCCUCUCCGGUACAAAAAUGCAAAAGAAAACAAAAAGUGGAUAAAAUGAUUUUUAGAGAUAAAGUGAAUGAAAAGAAGAAUGAUGGAAAGGAUACAUAUCCGUUGUAUGAAUAGUUCUUUCAAUUUUCAUUGAAUCGUGGAUUUUUUAUUUUGUUAGCAUAAUGUGUAUUGCCUAAGCAAUGAUCAUGUUUAUGUAGUAUUCCAGGUGUUGGGACUCUUGGGGUGUGAUCUUGCAUCUUGACAAAAAGUACAAUAAUUGCAAUCAAAUAUAAAAUAACUUUUGAUAUCCUCAAAGAUUGGGUAAGGUUAAGUUUUUGUUAUUGAUUAUUCUUUGUCAAUUGGUGUGUUUAUCCUAAUUUUAUAAAAAAUGUGGUUAUCUUAAUUUUUGCUAAAAUAUUAUUUUUUUAAAACAAUAAUAUGGAUUAUAAUAUUACUUUUUUUAAAAAAAUAAAUUUAUCUUAAUUUAUAUAUUUUUUAAUAAAAAUAAAAUAAAAAUGAUAAGUUAGUCCAUAAAAUGAACUGAGCAUGAAGUAUGUUGAUUUCUAAAAUGAAUUAAGAUAUUUUUUUUAUAGUUAAAUUUAUUAUUUAUUUGAAAAAAUUAUUUCACUUUUUUGUAGGGAUUUGGGGCCUUUUUCAUAUUAUGAAUUUUUUCAUCAAUGGACUUUUUAGGUUAUGGUUUCUUUUGAUAUAAUGGAUUCACAUGUCUCAAUAACUGAACUGUCUGCUUUUUAAGCUUUCCUAUCAGUUUCUGAGUUCUCUUCAGUUGCCUACUCUAAUCUCCGCUUCUUCUGUCUUCAAAGUUUAAGAGCAGAAUAACUAAAGAAGUCAAAGAACCCCAGAAUUAAAAGUUCAAGAGCGGAAUAACUGAACUGUCUGCUUAGGUUGUGUCUUUAUCUAUUUGUGCUUGUAUCUUUCUCACUCUCUGCGUG
Molecule: non-coding RNA, 2883 nt
Organism: Cajanus cajan (pigeon pea)
Lineage: Eukaryota; Viridiplantae; Streptophyta; Magnoliopsida; Fabales; Fabaceae
Source: RefSeq, a predicted model, not a curated record